This 460-nucleotide ribosomal RNA is filed under the name uncultured bacterium. RNAcentral describes it as "partial 16S ribosomal RNA". It matches the Rfam family "Bacterial small subunit ribosomal RNA", at positions 338 to 795 of the family's 1533-position model. The record is from RNAcentral.
CCUACGGGUGGCAGCAGUGAGGAAUAUUGGUCAAUGGACGGAAGUCUGAACCAGCCAUGCCGCGUGCAGGAAGACGGCUCUAUGAGUUGUAAACUGCUUUUGUACAAGGGUAAACCUGAAUACGUGUAUUCAGCUGAAAGUACUGUACGAAUAAGGAUCGGCUAACUCCGUGCCAGCAGCCGCGGUAAUACGGAGGAUCCAAGCGUUAUCCGGAUUUAUUGGGUUUAAAGGGUGCGUAGGUGGAUUGAUAAGUUAGAGGUGAAAUGUCCGAGCUUAACUCGGGAACUGCCUCUAAUACUGUUGGUCUAGAGAGUAGAUGCGGUAGGCGGAAUGUAUGGUGUAGCGGUGAAAUGCUUAGAGAUCAUACAGAACACCGAUUGCGAAGGCAGCUUACCAAUCUAUAUCUGACGUUGAGGCACGAAAGCGUGGGGAGCAAACAGGAUUAGAUACCCCGGUAGUC